AUACUCAAAGCAAGUGAUGAUUUUGGGUGAAUUUCUCUUUGAGCUUUUGUCAGAAGCUCUAGGGCUGAACCCUAAUCACCUCAAGGACAUGGAUUGCCUAAAGGGUUUGCGCAUGCUUUGCCAUUACUUCCCACCGUGUCCAGAGCCUGACCUAACUUUUGGCACAAGUCCGCACUCCGACAGCUCUUUUCUUACCAUCCUCCUUCCAGAUCAGAUCAAAGGGCUUCAGGUUCUUCGUGAAGGGUACUGGUUCGAUGUUCCUCAUGUUCCAGGCGCUCUCAUCAUCAACAUCGGAGAUCUUUUACAGGCAUGUUUACCAAUGCUUUCUUUUCCUCAGUUUUGCAUUCUAUAGAUAAUCUUCCCUUUAACUCAAAGUUUCUUUUGGGGGUUUGUGAUUUUGAUGCAGCUUAUAACAAACGACAAAUUCAUCAGUUUGGGGCAUCGAGUAUUGGCGAACAGAGCCACAAGAGCUCGAGUCUCUGUCGCAUGUUUCUUCACCACCCAUGUAAAACCCAAUCCUAGAGUGUAUGGACCCAUUAAAGAGCUUGUGUCCGAAGAAAACCCUCCAAAGUACAGAGAGACCACCAUUACAAACUACGCUACUUACUUCAAUGGCAAAGGACUUGGCGGAACCUCUGCUUUGCUCCAUUUUAAAGUAUGAAACAUGGCGAGCUACUACUUUCUCAAACAUAUACGACAUGACAGUAUAUGUAACAUGUUGGAAUUAUGUGAACCAAAUGUGGAAUUUAUGGAUUAUACUACAUUGUCAUUUCAGUUUGGUCCAUAUAAGGUGCAAUCGGAUAUGGUUAAUCGAUUAGAUGUCAAUAUUGGAUAUGAACAAGUUGGUUAUAUGCAUAUACACUAGAUUGGAUGGGUUGAAUUAUUAGAUGACAAUAUUUAAGAUUGGUUAAAUAAUGGUUCACUGGUUGGUUAAGUAAUGGUCUCUAGAUAUGUUUGCAUGUUUUCAUGAUUUGGUGUUAGUUCACUGUAAUUCAUGGAUUUAAAGGUCUUGGGAUUUUUUCAAGCAUGCAUAAGAUUAGUUGACGUUUUUUGCUUUAUCAUAAAAUCAUAAGGUUUUUGAAUCAUAUAUCAUGCAUGUUUCUGGAUUAAAAAUCACAAGAAAGCAUGUUUUUUUUGAAAAUAAAUUUAGUCUUUAAAGACCAUUUGUUGAAAACAAUAAAAGUUCCGUACUUAAUUCAAUUUCAAGAUAGUUAGGCGUAGAAUACAAGAAAGAAAACAAUUUUUUUGAAAGACAAGUGUUGUUUUCUUGUCUGAACAAAACCAACCCAAAUAUAGAGAGACACCACCAUUACUCCAUUACAGAGAAUGCAAACUUCGUUUUAUAUAUAUAUAUAUACUGUAUCAUUUUGACUAAUAAAGUUGCGUGGGAGAUUGAUUCUCUUAAUUCUGUAAUAACUUGUUGUUGACUAAAAGACUUGUCUGGUCCGCUCACUGCCACAAGCGGUUGUUUUUGUCUAUAAACCUUAUCUCUUACCAAUGGUUUUGCUGUAGCAACCGGUCACAUCUUUGAACUUAAGAAAAAUGUUUCAUUCUUGUUUUUAUAGAUUUUUAUGUUAUGCCUGAUUGUAUCAUAUUGUUCUGUUCUUCGAGAAACUAAAACUAUGGAGACGACGAAGAUUGCUUCUUCAUUCGAUCGUGCCAGUGAGCUCAAAGCUUUUGAUGAGACAAAAACGGGUGUGAAAGGACUCGUCGACUCCGGAAUUUCACAGAUUCCACGCAUCUUCCAUCACUCAUCUGUCAAACUAGAGAACCCUAAGCCACUUUCCUCGGACUUGCUACAUCUCAAGACGAUCCCAACGAUCGAUCUUGGAGGACGGGUUUUCGAGGAUGCGAGUAAGCGCAAGAACGCGGUUGAAAGAAUUAAAGAAGCAUCAGAGAAGUGGGGUUUCUUCCAGGUAAUUAACCAUGGAGUUCCACUUGAUCUUCUUGAGAAGAUGAAAGAUGGAGUUCGUGGGUUUCACGAGCAAUCCCCUGAAGUGAGGAAAGAUUUCUACAGUCGCGAUUUAACUAGAAAGUUUCAGUAUUCAAGUAAUUUCGAUCUCUAUAGUUCUCCAGCUGCAAACUGGAGAGACACGGUUGCUUGUACCAUGGCUCCAGAUCCUCCGAAUCCACAAGAUAUUCCAGAGAUUUGUAGGUAUGACUCCAUUGCUUUAACUUUAUUUGAUGUGUAAUCUCUAUUCAUAUAUGGUGAAUUGUUUCAGGGAUGUCACGAUGGAAUAUUCAGAGCAAGUGAUGAAUUUGGGUGAAUUUCUCUUUACGCUUUUAUCAGAAGCUCUAGGGUUGAACCCUAAUCACCUCAAUGACAUGGAUUGCUCUAAGGGUUUGGUCAUGCUUUGCCAUUACUACCCACCAUGUCCAGAGCCUGACCUAACUUUAGGCACAAGUCAGCACGCCGACAAUACUUUUCUUACCGUUCUUCUUCCAGAUCAGAUCGAAGGGCUUCAGGUUCUUCGUGAAGGGUAUUGGUUCAAUGUUCCUCAUGUUCCCGGAGCUCUAAUCAUCAACAUUGGAGAUCUUCUACAGGCAAGUUUGCACAACCAAUACAUUUUUGCUCUGUUUUGCACAAGUAUAAAUCUUCCUCUUGGUUCAAAGAUUUUUUAUUGGGAUUUUGAUGCAGCUUGUAACAAACGACAAGUUCAUCAGUUUGGAGCACAGAGUAUUGGCGAACAGAGCCACAAGAGCUCGAGUCUCUGUAGCAGGUUUCUUCACCACCGCCAUGAGACCGAAUCCUACACUGUACGGACCCAUUAGAGAGCUUGUGUCUGAAGACAACCCUCCAAAGUACAGAGAGACCACUAUUAGAGACUACACUGUUCACUUCAGUGCCAAAGGACUUGACGGAACCUCUGCUUUGCUCCAUUUUAAAAUAUGAAACAUGGCCAGCUAGCUUCUACUUUAUCACACAUAUAUGACAUGAUAUAUAUAUGUAACAUGUUGGAUAUGUGUGAACCACAUGCAUGUGGAAUUUAUGAAAUAAAGAUUGUUAUUUCGGUUUAGUCCAAAUAAGGUGUGAUUGGUUAUGGUGGUUAAAAGAUAUGUUUCUUUGUAGCUAUGAUUAAACUAUUACAGAGUAUGCAAAGUUCUACAGAUCCAAAGGAUUCGAUGGUACCUCUGGAUUACUUUAUCUCAAGAUCUGAGAAUGCCAUAUACUGUAUCAUUUUGUCUAACAGAUGCGUGAGACUAAUUUGAUUUUUUUCUUUUCUGUAAUAACCUCUUGUUAAUUACUUAAGUCUGCUCCAGUCACUGUCACAAGCGGUUGUUUUUGUCAAGCAACCUUAUCUCUAAUCAAUGGUUUUGCUGUAUCAACUGGUCCAAUCUUUGAACUUAAGAAAAAAGUUUCUUUCUUGUUUUUAUGGAUUCUUAAGUUAUGUGGGAUUGUAUCAUAUUGUUCUGUUUUUCGAGAAACUAAAACUAUGGAGACGACGAAGAUUGCUUCUUCAUUCGAUCGUGCCGGUGAGCUUAAAGCUUUCGAUGAAACGAAAACGGGUGUGAAAGGACUCGUUGACGCAGGAGUUUCACAAAUUCCGCGCAUCUUUCAUCAUCCAUCUGUCAAAUUAUCAAACCAUAAACCACUUUCCUCAGACUUGGUACAUCUCAAGACGAUCCCAACGAUUGAUCUAGGAGGAAGGAUCGUUGAGGACACGAGCAAGCGCAAGAACGCGAUUGAAGGGAUUAAAGAAGCAGCAGAGAAGUGGGGUUUCUUCCAGGUGAUCAACCAUGGAGUUUCGCUUGAUCUUCUUGAGAAGAUGAAAGAUGGAGUUCGUGACUUUCACGAGCAAUCCCCUGAAGUGAGGAAAGAAUUCUAUAGUCGCGAUUUCAGCAGAAGGUUUCUGUAUUCAAGUAAUUUCGAUCUCUUCAGUUCUCCAGCUGCAAAUUGGAGAGACACUUUCUCUUGUACUAUGGCUCCAGAUACUCCAAAACCACAGGAUCUUCCGGAGAUUUGUAGGUAUGACUCCAUUGCCCUAACUUGAUUUCAUGUGUACUCUUUGUUCAUAUGGUGAAUCACUAAAUUGUUUCAGGGAUGUUAUGAUGGAAUACUCAAAGCAAGUGAUGAUUUUGGGUAAAUUUCUCUUUGAGCUUUUAUCAGAAGCUCUAGGGUUGGAACCUAAUCACCUCAAUAACAUAGAUUGCUCCAAGGGUUUGCUCAUGCUCUCCCAUUACUACCCACCGUGUCCAGAGCCUGACCUAACUUUUGGCACAAGUCAGCACUCUGACAACUCUUUCCUUACCGUCCUUCUCCCCGAUCAGAUCGAAGGGCUUCAGGU
Molecule: long non-coding RNA, 4286 nt
Filed under: Arabidopsis lyrata
Lineage: Eukaryota; Viridiplantae; Streptophyta; Magnoliopsida; Brassicales; Brassicaceae
Description: long non-coding RNA (ALYR_LNC002962)
Source: RNAcentral